AUUGAACGCUGGCGGCAUGCCUUACACAUGCAAGUCGAACGGCAGCACGGGAGCAAUCCUGGUGGCGAGUGGCGAACGGGUGAGUAAUAUAUCGGAACGUGCCCAGUCGUGGGGAUAACGUAGCGAAAGCUACGCUAAUACCGCAUACUAUCUAUGGAUGAAAGCGGGGGAUCGCAAGACCUCGCGCGAUUGGAGCGGCCGAUAUCAGAUUAGGUAGUUGGUGAGGUAAAGGCUCACCAAGCCGACGAUCUGUAGCUGGUCUGAGAGGACGACCAGCCACACUGGAACUGAGACAC
Molecule: ribosomal RNA, 296 nt
Filed under: uncultured bacterium
Lineage: Bacteria
Description: partial 16S ribosomal RNA
Rfam family: Bacterial small subunit ribosomal RNA
Source: RNAcentral